ACCUGGCUGGCUUAGUCAGUAGAGCAUGUGACUCUUGAUCUCAGGGUUGUGAGUUCAAACCCCAUGUUAGGCA
This 73-nucleotide transfer RNA is filed under the name Canis lupus familiaris (dog). It matches the Rfam family "tRNA". From Rfam's summary of the family: Transfer RNA (tRNA) molecules are approximately 80 nucleotides in length. Their secondary structure includes four short double-helical elements and three loops (D, anti-codon, and T loops). Further hydrogen bonds mediate the characteristic L-shaped molecular structure. tRNAs have two regions of fundamental functional importance: the anti-codon, which is responsible for specific mRNA codon recognition, and the 3' end, to which the tRNAs corresponding amino acid is attached (by aminoacyl-tRNA synthetases). tRNAs cope with the degeneracy of the genetic code in two manners: having more than one tRNA (with a specific anti-codon) for a particular amino acid; and 'wobble' base-pairing, i.e. permitting non-standard base-pairing at the 3rd anti-codon position. Lineage: Eukaryota; Metazoa; Chordata; Mammalia; Carnivora; Canidae. RNAcentral also lists the same sequence under 1 other name. The record is from Rfam by way of RNAcentral.